RNAcentral lists this ribosomal RNA (253 nucleotides) under uncultured bacterium. RNAcentral describes it as "partial 16S ribosomal RNA". It matches the Rfam family "Bacterial small subunit ribosomal RNA", at positions 524 to 776 of the family's 1533-position model. The record is from RNAcentral.
UACGUAGGGUCCAAGCGUUAUCCGGAAUCACUGGGCGUAAAGCGUGCGUAGGUGGCGCGUUAAGUGAGAUGUUAAAUCGUGUGGCUCAACCAUAUCGAUGCAUCUCAUACUGGCGUGCUAGAGGACAGCAGAGGCAAGUGGAAUUUGUAGUGUAGCAGUGAAAUGCGUAGAUAUCGGAAGGAACACCAGUGGCGAAAGCGGCUUCCUGGUCCAGAACCGACGUUCAGGCACGAAAGCGUGGGGAGCAAACAGG